GAUGAAGAACGUAGCGAAAUGCGAUAAGUAAUGUGAAUUGCAGAAUUCAGUGAGUCAUCGAAUCUUUGAACGCACAUUGCGCCCACUGGUAUUCCGGUGGGCAUGCCUGUUCGAGCGUCAUUAUCCUCCCUCAAACCCCGGGUUUGGUGUUGGACCCAAGUUGUGUGAACAACUGGUCUCAAAGACAAUGACGGCGUCCGUGGGACCCUCGGUGCAACGAGCUUUUAGGAGCACGCAUCGAGUUGCAAGGACCUUCCGGGCCGGUCUCCUUUACCAUUUUACAAGGUUGACCUCGGAUCAGGUAGGAAUACCCGCUGAACUUAAGCAUAUCAAUAAGCGGAGGA
This 344-nucleotide unclassified non-coding RNA is filed under the name soil metagenome. RNAcentral describes it as "partial contains 5.8S ribosomal RNA, internal transcribed spacer 2, and large subunit ribosomal RNA". The stretch from base 1 to 120 matches the Rfam family "5.8S ribosomal RNA", at positions 35 to 154 of the family's 154-position model. The record is from RNAcentral.